Long non-coding RNA from Syngnathus acus (greater pipefish), 103 nucleotides. RefSeq lists it as uncharacterized. The record is from RefSeq and is a predicted model, not a curated record. The transcript is spliced from 4 exons. NCBI's taxonomy places the organism in Eukaryota, Metazoa, Chordata, Actinopteri, Syngnathiformes, Syngnathidae.
UAAUUAAUUAGAUGUGUUGAUUUGAUUGAAGAGUUUGUCCUUAAUGACUUGAGACAUCAGGCCGUGAAUGGCUUCGAUGAGACAGCUUAAUAUUUCAUUCCAC